This is a small nucleolar RNA of Hyaena hyaena (striped hyena), 148 nucleotides long. RefSeq annotates it as small nucleolar RNA SNORA29. The transcript has a single exon. The record is from RefSeq and is a predicted model, not a curated record. Lineage: Eukaryota; Metazoa; Chordata; Mammalia; Carnivora; Hyaenidae.
AGCCUCAGCUGGAGGUGGUGAUUUAUGAGAAGAAAUGGAUGUGAUAAGAAAGGAGUCAUGCUUAUGGGAUAGAUGAAAAUUGCCAUGAUCUGAAGAGGGAGGAUUUAUUUGUGUCCUCCUUCUAUAUGAAAUGACUGAACAGAAAAUU